Long non-coding RNA from Acomys russatus (golden spiny mouse), 1480 nucleotides. RefSeq lists it as uncharacterized. NCBI's taxonomy places the organism in Eukaryota, Metazoa, Chordata, Mammalia, Rodentia, Muridae. The transcript has 3 exons. The record is from RefSeq and is a predicted model, not a curated record.
UUAUAUAUAUUAGGUUUCUGCCAACCGUAAGAUUCAUUGGAAAAUAUACAAGGGUUUUAAGAAAUUGUACACUAACCAUCUGUUUUGUAAUAGAGUAAUCCAGAGGCUAGAGCAAGAAGUGUAGAGAAUAGUUACAGAGAGUAGGACUUUGUUGUCACAGAGGAACUGGUGACAUGUGUCUGACUAAAGCCUGGUUCCUGCUCUUUCCCACUUUGCCUCACAUUUUGAAUGAGAAUGUCUAUUGGUUAUCCUGAGUGAGUCUCAGUACCCUGUGUCUGUAUGUUGAGUGUGUGGGAGCAGAUAAUUUGUCUCUCUAAUUCAGAUCAAGAGGAAUAGACUCCAGUAGCUGUGCCUGAGGAACUGCAUCUGAGGAGCUCCAGCCACACCUGGACCUGAUUUAGAUAUCGAGACACUGAACAUCAAGCUGAUGCCAUAAUGAGAUGAGAAUUUUGAAGGUCUUAGGAAAGGAGGUUCAAGAGGAGAUACAAGAGAUCUGACAGGAGAAAAAUAACUAAAUAAAUGAAACCCCAGAGGGCAGGAGAGACAGUAAUGGCAGGUUAGGGAGCCAGCAGGAGCCCACUGGGAACAUUACGGUUGGCACUGUGUCAGCAUGACAGAAACAGAUGGUGGUGGCUCUGAGAGCAGUUGCAGUGCUGAAAGAAUAUUCAGACACAUCCAGGAAGGUAAGUUAGAAAAUGAAGCACACCGUGUUGACUGAAUUCUGGCAAUUCUUAAGGCCCAGGAGAGGACACUCUCAAAUAUCUAGACUGUUAACAUUAGAGCAAGAGAAACAGUACAGGCCAUUUUGUCCUUGAACUUGCAGAACUCCGCCUGCCUCAGCCUCCCAAGUGCUGGGAUUAAAGGUGUGCACCACCACACCUGCCUUAAAGAACUUUAUAAGAACAUGAAACUAAGGGCAGGUAAAUCUCCCCCAAAGAGAUGCCCCAUAUCAUUGCUUUUUAUAAUUCUGCUGCUGUCACCUCUUUGGACACUUUACAGUGUGGCACCUGUAAGGCCUCAUGUUAGGAUAAUGAAGUGCUUUUCCUGGAGAAAUGGUUGAGAAACAUUUUGGGAGCUGGAGAGAUGGCUCCACCGUUGAAGGCUAGGCUUACAACCAAAAAUAGGAGGAACAUUUUGGUCUCAUGGACAGUUUUCCUAGAAAGUAAGCUAUAGCAGUUUGGUUUAAUCUUUGUAAACAUUAUAUUAGCCGCCAUAUACAGCAGGGCACAUGGUUCUUGAGGGUCUGAAAUAAAACCACUGGCCAGUUAAGUCAUAGGCUUUAUGCAUUUGAACUUGUCCCAGUAGUUUAAGAACUUUAAUUAUUUUCAUAACAUUUUGUAAUAGAUAGUAGUAGAAAUAGGUCAAAUGUCAACUUUUAAAGAAAGGAAAUGGUAUCUACAUUCAGGAUUUUAGACACACCAAGAUGGGAAAGAUGUCUUCAAGGCUGCCAAGUACAAACAGCCAUAACACUUUGAAUGUA